CUCAAAACACAACUCAGUGGCUCACCAUUACUCCCUCUUAUCUUCUUCAUUCUCCACGUACCAUUUUUUUCUUCUCUCUUCUUCCUCCCAAACCACCAAUGUGUCUGUGAUUUUAACUCCUUUAUAGCCUAGCCUCAACACGGAUCUCUCUAUACUAAUCUAGAUCAAAGAAAGAUUUGGAACUCAAGAACAUUUUCUGCCGAUCUGCAUGAGAAGAGCCAUAAAUAAAAAUGGAGCUUAAGAGCUCAAACGCUAUUUGUGAUCUCUAUGGGUUGGUGGAUGUGCGAGAGAUAGACGGUUGCAGGCAUUCAUUUGGUUUUUUCAUAAAUGAAUCACUGUAAUCUGUAAUCUUUAAUAGAAUGCCUUUUUGGUUGUUGGAGGUAAAGAGAUUAGAGGCUCUAUCUCUGAUCUAAAGGGGCCCUAUGGUUUACCCCAAGCCUCAGUGAGUCAUGGUUUUGGCCAACAAUCCACUAUGGUCCUUGAGAUGGCACGAGUCAUCAAGUAGAGGUUUGUGAUUCCAAGGCUGCAGCAGAGCAAGGGCUGUUGCUUUGGUUAAACCAAUCUAGGAGCCGGAACAAGUAGCAAAGAGGUUGAUGUAAGAAGCAUAUUAAAGAGUUUGUGCAAGAUCAAGGAGAAUCUUUUCACAGUAGAUGUGGAAGCACCCUUCCUUAGCUUGAUACCAAGGUUUGGUUUUCUGCAAGAGUGGAAGAUGAAGUGCAAUAAAAUCAAGUGGUUCACAAUGAUAGAAAUCGUAGUGUUCUGCUAGAUAUAAAUAAACUCAUUAGAAUAUGAAUGUGUAUUACGUACUAUCACCUUCUAGCAUAGAGCUAUAUUUGAAAGCUUAGUUUCUAUAUUGAUUCAAUUUAGCUAGAAAACAUGCCUUGUUUGAUUUGGUAAAGAACCAUUGGCUGUGAUCAUUUACAAGGUAGACAUAGCACUUGGUACUUUGGUAGUGGAUGUGUAUUAUAUUUGGUAGUGAUACUUUGACAAGGUAGAAUCAUGUUUUCUUC
Quercus lobata is the source of this 1010-nucleotide long non-coding RNA. RefSeq lists it as uncharacterized. Lineage: Eukaryota; Viridiplantae; Streptophyta; Magnoliopsida; Fagales; Fagaceae. The transcript is spliced from 4 exons. The record is from RefSeq and is a predicted model, not a curated record.